RNAcentral lists this unclassified non-coding RNA (364 nucleotides) under uncultured Chaetosphaeriaceae. RNAcentral describes it as "sequence contains ITS2". The stretch from base 1 to 154 matches the Rfam family "5.8S ribosomal RNA". The record is from RNAcentral. Lineage: Eukaryota; Fungi; Ascomycota; Sordariomycetes; Chaetosphaeriales; Chaetosphaeriaceae.
AACUUUUAGCAACGGAUCUCUUGGUUCUGGCAUCGAUGAAGAACGCAGCGAAAUGCGAUAAGUAAUGCGAAUUGCAGAAUUCUGUGAGUCAUCGAAUCUUUGAACGCACAUUGCGCCCGCCAGCAUCCUGGCGGGCAUGCCUGUUCGAGCGUCAUUUCAACCCUCAGGCUCUGCCUGGUAUUGGGGACCUGCGCCUCGCAGCCCCCGAAAGACAGCGGCGGUCCCGUCCCGGCACCGAGCGUAGUAGCACAUCUCGCUAUGGGCGUUCGGGCGGUGGCCUGCCGGAAAACCCCCAAUUUUCGUGGUUGACCUCGGAUCAGGUAGGAAUACCCGCUGAACUUAAGCAUAUCAAUAAGCGGAGGCU